GGUUAAGAAGAGGAGAAGGCCAUAAAUCCGCAGCAGAAGGGAUGAAAACCUAGACUACAAAAGGAAAGGAGCAAAAAAGGGCGACAGAGAGAAGAGACAGGCAUUAUAAAAAUUAUUGUGAGUCAUUAUAAUUUAAUUCAAUACUUUAUUUAUGAUAUUUUAAAUUAAAUUAAAACACUUUAUUACAAUUCUAUUACGUGAUUAAUAAUAAUCAAAAUUAAAAUAAAAAACAACAUUUUAUUUGAAAAAAAAAUUUUCUCUCUUUCUCUUUCUUCCCACUUCCUCCUUUUCCUUCCUACCUCCCAACGGAAACUUAGCCCAAACAACUCUCCCAUCUCUCACUUGUCACACAUCAAGCACUCCCCCUCCCCGGCCCCUCCACUCCAACCCUUGCCGCCCUUUGCUGCUACUGAUACUCUCGGGCUUCCCUAACCUCGAUAAUAGAAUUAUAUAAUUUGUAUUUGUAAUCGACACAAUUUUCUUUUAUAGUUGAUUUUUUGUUUGAUGAUAUGUGAAGGGAACCUCACUUCUUUUCUGCGCUUCGUCUUUUCUAAUUGCUGGGGGUCUUCUGAUUUUUGAGAAGUACUAAAUUUAGUCUACUUUUCCCAUAAUAUUUUAUUCUUGUUUUGGCAUUUCUCUGACAAAAUCUCCUGAGUAGUUAUAUAAGGGCCGGCUAAAAGCUAAUGGAGACAUGAUGACUAUCAGAGUACAUAAACCUUCACUACUGGGUUUGCAAAAUUUCUAUGCUUGAUUUUUGUGGGUUUGAGACGUUUAAUUUUGAGAACAUGAUGAAGGUGUUAAAGCUUGCUGUGAUUUGGAUUGUAACUCUGGGUUCCUCAGCAUGAGAGUUGUGAUAUUAGGCGUGGGUGUGAGCACGUUGUUGUGGGUUCAUCACUUUGCACGCCCUUCGUUUCUCCAAAAGAGGCCGAGGCCUUGGGCCUUCGUGAGCUUUUGAAAUGGCAGGUAUGUCAUAUGUCGUGGUUGAAACAGAAUUGGGUACUACCUAUUAUUUCAGACUGUAAAAGCUUCUUCAACCAGGGAAGCUUUUAUUUCAUAUGUAUGUAUAUAUAUAUCUAUAUAUAUGACAGUUCAGGCAAUAAUACAUCUCAU
Molecule: unclassified non-coding RNA, 1110 nt
Filed under: Hevea brasiliensis (rubber tree)
Lineage: Eukaryota; Viridiplantae; Streptophyta; Magnoliopsida; Malpighiales; Euphorbiaceae
Source: RNAcentral